UUAGACUUAAGGGCUAAGCCUUUAUAGGUAAAAAGGCGUAAAGGGUGUGUAGGCCGACAAUUCCCCCCAAGGUGGUAAAUGGAAUUUUUCUGUAACGGUAGAAUGUGUGGAUAGAAAAUAGAACCCCAAAGGCAAAAGCAAUUUACCUCGGGGGAAGGGGGGGUGAAAAUCUGAUAUUCCCAAUCGGGACCUAUCACUCCACCCCCCCCCGAGCACAGGCUGAAACACGAGGGUGUGGGUAACAAACAGGAUUAGAGACCCUGGUAGUCCACACUGUAAACGAUGAAGAAAAUGUUAAUGCAACCCCGAAAGGUAGUAAUCUUCCGCCUGAGUAGUACGAUCGCAAGAUUAAAAUUCAAAAAAUUUGGCUGUUCACUGUUUCGAUUAGAGGAGCGUGUAGUUUAAUUCGAUAAACCGCGAGAUACCUUACCCAAACUUGAAUCACCCAUCCGAGAUUGAAUGGUCUCGGGAGGGUAGACCGGUAUUGCAUGGCCGUCGUCAGUUCGUGUAUGAAACCUUUAACGGACCUAACCCGGGGGGUUAGCCGCGGAUGAAGUCAGGUCUUAUGAUCCCAAUGUUUGGGGAUAAUAUGCGCUACAUUUUCUUAUACAAUGGGAAACCUGAAAGGUGAAACCCCAAAGUAGGAGUUCGGUAGGUCAUUGUAAGAUGACCGAAAG
RNAcentral lists this ribosomal RNA (677 nucleotides) under Epizoanthus ramosus. Its description in RNAcentral is "partial small subunit ribosomal RNA". It matches the Rfam family "Bacterial small subunit ribosomal RNA", at positions 521 to 1325 of the family's 1533-position model. Lineage: Eukaryota; Metazoa; Cnidaria; Anthozoa; Zoantharia; Epizoanthidae. The record is from RNAcentral.